CCUAAUAAGUUAAUUAAUUCACCCCCAAGUUAUGUUUUCUCUUUGCAGUCCCAUAUCGCACUCCAAACAUCAACCGCAGUAGGGACCCUAACCAGAACGUCGCCAUGACCCUUUCCUGCACCGCUACUGGCGGUUAUCCAGAAGGGAAAAUCCUUUGGUUUGACAAAUAUGGAACGGAUUGGUCCCCCAGCUCCCAACAGAAAGCUAUCGAGACCAGAGAUGGACGUUUCAACCUCGUCAGCAAGCUGGACCUGCUUUCAGGCUCUUCAUUCUCCACGUACACAUGUGCGGUCCACAAUAUCAGAGGAGAACGGGAAGGAGAGACCCAGUAUAACGUUUCGGAUCUAGACCCUCAGUCAGGCCGGCAUGAAGGAAAAACACAAAAGUCAGAUUUGGCAUCCAAAAUCGUCAUCCCUGUGGUCAUCAUUGGAUCAGUGAUCAUUGGGCUGCUGAUUGUCCGUCUUCUAAAACCACACUGUCAAAGUUCCCAUCAAGCACUCCCAACAAACAACGAAUGUGGUUAUGAAGAUGAACUUCAAACCAAAACCAUGCCUGAGGGAGAAUACAGCAGCUGUGUAACACCCCAACCCUCAAAUGUAUGUAGUGUAUAGUUAAAAUCUAUACAGCAAAAGGUUAUUUUCAAAUGCAGGAGAGGAAUUAUGAAUCAAGGGGUAUUUGUGCGUUGGGAAAUAGAACGGUCGGCUGCCUGUAGGCAGAACGUCAGGACUCUGGUAAUUUGUCUGGUUGAGGUCAGUUAUGUAUUUUUCGAACUCAGGGGUUCAAAACCCCUUAUAAGACAACAGGAGAGCUAUGAUGACAGCAGCCGGUUCGAUUCCAUUCAGUCUUGAUGCUGAGGCAUGUCCUUAGAACGCCAGGCUACUGCAGUUCGAAUUUUCAUGAGUUGAAUUUUCUGGUCCGUAUUUUGACCACAAAUAUUUAGCUUUCCAUUUUUAUAUUUUGAAAUAUCUUGGUUAGCUCUAAAAAAGGACGACGGACCGACCGGAAAUAGAGUCCACCAUAACUGAGGUCAAAAUAAUAUAAAGAUAAAUGAUAAGGCUCGGCAUAAAUCACUUCACCAGACUUAAAACCAGGAACUGAACUGAAAACGUGACUUUCCACAACAGAGGCAUAAAGGACACUGCAUACUUAAUGGGUUAAACCAGCGGUUCCCAAACUGGGGGUCGCGACCCCCCGGGGGGUCGCGGAGCACCGUCAGGGGGGUCGCGGAGAGAUGGGCCAGUUUGCAUAUUAAAAAAAAUAAAUAAUAAUAAUAAUAAUAUAUAUACCGUAUAUAUAUAUAUAUAUAUAUAUAUAUAUAUAUAUAUAUAUAUAUAUAUA
Gadus macrocephalus (Pacific cod) is the source of this 1338-nucleotide long non-coding RNA. RefSeq lists it as uncharacterized. The record is from RefSeq and is a predicted model, not a curated record. The transcript has 4 exons. NCBI's taxonomy places the organism in Eukaryota, Metazoa, Chordata, Actinopteri, Gadiformes, Gadidae.